UUAGUACUCCAUCCGUCCCAAAAUUCUUGUCUUAGAUUGUCUAUACAUGAAUGUAUCUAGUCACGUUUUAAUAUUUACAUACAUUCAUUUGUACACAAAUCUAAGGCAAGAAUUUUGAGACGGAGGAGAGUCUU
RNAcentral lists this microRNA precursor (134 nucleotides) under Hordeum vulgare. Its description in RNAcentral is "microRNA MIR1122". It matches the Rfam family "MIR1120/MIR1122 microRNA precursor family". Lineage: Eukaryota; Viridiplantae; Streptophyta; Magnoliopsida; Poales; Poaceae. The record is from RNAcentral.